AGUGAACGCUGGCGGUAGGCCUAACACAUGCAAGUCGAACGGCAGCACAGAGGAGCUUGCUCCUUGGGUGGCGAGUGGCGGACGGGUGAGGAAUACAUCGGAAUCUACUCUGUCGUGGGGGAUAACGUAGGGAAACUUACGCUAAUACCGCAUACGACCUACGGGUGAAAGCAGGGGAUCUUCGGACCUUGCGCGAUUGAAUGAGCCGAUUUCGGAUUAGCUAGUUGGCGGGGUAAAGGCCCACCAAGGCGACGAUCCGUAGCUGGUCUGAGAGGAUGAUCAGCCACACUGGAACUGAGACACGGUCCAGACUCCUACGGGAGGCAGCAGUGGGGAAUAUUGGACAAUGGGCGCAAGCCUGAUCCAGCCAUACCGCGCGGGUGAAGAAGGCCUUCGGGUUGUAAAGCCCUUUUGUUGGGAAAGAAAUCCAUCUGGUUAAUACCCGGGUGGGAUGACGGUACCCAAAGAAUAAGCACCGGCUAACUUCGUGCCAGCCGCCGCUGUAA
This 506-nucleotide ribosomal RNA is filed under the name uncultured bacterium. RNAcentral's name for it is "partial 16S ribosomal RNA". It matches the Rfam family "Bacterial small subunit ribosomal RNA", at positions 29 to 523 of the family's 1533-position model. The record is from RNAcentral.